AUGAAUCACAAAAGCUCCCAACACUUGCAGAGAUCAGAUAAGCAUGUGUCCGCAUCUGCAGCCUGGCUAGAAUGGCUUCUGCAGCAGCGCGGUGAGGUAGACGAGCUCAUCCUUGGCGCCAUUGCCGGUCUUGUCGGCGACGGCCCACUUGAUGGUCUUGUAGCCCAGCCUCCGCAGCAUGGCCGCGUACACGCCGUCGAGGUCGCCCUUCCGGCACCAGAGGUGAUCCACCCAGAGCAGCCCGCCCGGGCGCAGCACCCGGUCCGCGUCGUACCACAGGAACUCCAGCGCCGGCUCCGGGAUCCACCGGUUCACCGCGUGCCCCGCCCGCACCAGGUCCAUCGUCCCGUCCCCCACGGGGAACCGCUGCUGCAGCGGCGCGUGCAGCGGCACCACCCCGCGCGCCGCCGCGGCCUCCGAGUAGGGCGCGCCCAGGUCCAUGGUCGUCGUCAGCACCGUCGCGUUCGCCGCCCGCUUCAGCCGCGCCGCCAGCGUCCCAGUGCCGCCGCCCACGUCCAGCCCCAGCCGGAUGGGCCCCGCGCGGCUCAUCGACGCCAGACGCAGCAGCUGCGGCACCGUCAGGUCCAGAGGCCCCAGCGACCGGAGGAACUUGCCGGCCUCCGUCCGCGCCACGUCGAACCCGAGCGACGCCGGCAGGCAAGAGAAGGACCUGCAUUUCUUCGCGUCCGUCGGCCAGCGCACGGCGGAGUCGGGAAGCGGCGCGAAGGGGUCGGUGGGGAGCUGGAUGGAUCCGGCGUCAGGUGUUGGGGAGAAGCAGCGGCGCCUGGGAAGCGGGUGGCAGCCGCGGAGGAUGAGAGGCUCGGCGAGGGUGUGGACGUCGUCGGGGCAGGCGGCGAAGGGGACGUACGACAUGAAGCGGUGGAGGAGGUCGGGGUGCGCGGAGCAGGCGGAGGCGACGGGGGCGAGGCGCGAGUAGAGGACGAGCUCGGGGGGCGGGGGAGGGCUGGCGGACCGGAGGUGGGAGACGGUGGCGCGGAUGGCGCUGAGCUGCUGGAGGACCUGCUGCUGGUCGAAGUCGGAGCCGGAUUGGAGCGCCGGCGUGGUGGGGGAGGCGCGGAUGGAGAGGUGGUAGAGGGAGAGCAGGUUGGUGGCCACCAUGGAGAGCAGGAACACCACGUUGAGGUUCAGACUGCACGGCCAGCCUGCACCCGUGGAGGCGGAGCCCACCACCGUCUUCCUCAUCGCCGGCCGAUCCGAUCCCCUUUCCCCUCUUUCCCGUGCCUUCACUCCGCGAGAGCGAGCGGCAGAGUGGUGCCGGUGUGUGUGAGUGCGUGA
RNAcentral lists this ribosomal RNA (1296 nucleotides) under Triticum aestivum (bread wheat). Its description in RNAcentral is "partial small subunit ribosomal RNA". Lineage: Eukaryota; Viridiplantae; Streptophyta; Magnoliopsida; Poales; Poaceae. The record is from RNAcentral.